RNAcentral lists this ribosomal RNA (470 nucleotides) under uncultured archaeon. RNAcentral's name for it is "bacterial SSU rRNA". It matches the Rfam family "Archaeal small subunit ribosomal RNA", at positions 321 to 795 of the family's 1478-position model. The record is from RNAcentral.
CCCUACGGGGSGCAYCAGGCGCGAAAACUUUACAAUGCGGGAAACCGUGAUAAGGGAACUCUGAGUGCCCGUUAAAUCGGGCUGUCCAUCAGUUUAAAAAACUGGUGAAGAAAGGGCCGGGCAAGACCGGUGCCAGCCGCCGCGGUAAUACCGGCGGCUCGAGUGGUGGCCACUAUUACUGGGCUUAAAGCGUUCGUAGCUGGUUUGUUAAGUCUCUGGGGAAAUCUUCCGGCUUAACCGGAAGGCGUCUCAGGGAUACUGGCAGACUAGGGACCGGAAGAGGUGAGAGGUACUCCAGGGGUAGGAGUGAAAUCCUGUAAUCCUUGGGGGACCACCUGUGGCGAAGGCGUCUCACCAGGACGGCUCCGACAGUGAGGGACGAAAGCUGGGGGAGCAAACCGGAUUAGAUACCCGGGUAGUCCCAGCCGUAAACGAUGUGCGUUAGGUGUAUCGGUGACCACGAGUCACCG